Molecule: long non-coding RNA, 1778 nt
Filed under: Androctonus crassicauda
Lineage: Eukaryota; Metazoa; Arthropoda; Arachnida; Scorpiones; Buthidae
Source: RNAcentral
AUUAAUAAAAUUUACAUUUUUUUAAUUUUUUUUUUUUUUUGAAAACGAUGUCGAUGGCAGAUUUCUGGUUGGCAGAAGAGACGGAUGCCUUAACGUUUUCUAUGGCGAAUGAAAAGGUUUAAAAAUAAGUUUGAAACGCCGGGAUCGAUUUUAAGAUAUAAUUGUUAGAAAUGCGAACACGAAGAAAGGCUGUUUUGGUAAUGAACUUCCCUCCUCAGUCAGUGCAGAGCAGAGGAAGUGGAAAACUAAUAAGGCCAGUUUUGGAGGAUUCCAGCUUCCGACCGCGAACACUGAAAUAUCAGGAGUCCAUUGAAACGCAACCGGAAGUGCCAAAAAUGCCUCGUUAUCAUCCACUAACGAUUAUUGCAGCCCAAACCGCUUAUCGCGAGGGGGAGCGGGGCUAGAAAUCGCCAAACAAGAGCUGGAACUGCAGUUAUUAGGUAUCAGGAGCUGGCUCCGGAUGAGGUGGGGGAGAACCUUUCUCCCGACGCAAAGGAAAUUAAUGAAAUUAUUAAAUUAAUUACCUAAUGCAGAUUUCUCUCCUCCUCCACUAUCUGCUCGCCUGUCCGAAAGGGUGGCUGCGUUCGCUCGCCUCUUGGACCAAUUUCCUGGCGUAUUGCAGCGCCAUCUACUCCCCGUCUGCUGUAAUUAAGGGAGAGAGAUCCCUACUACACACCUGUUGUGUACAGGUAGCUUUAGCUUGCACCCAACCCACUCCAUUGCUCUUCGAUACUCAUAAAAAUUUAAGAUUUUUCUACCGUAACCGCCUAGUUGGCCAUCCAGAAACAAAUUUAUUUUGCCCCUUCUGUCUUAGCCGCUUUCAUGUAGGAAUUUUAAAUCUGGGAACCAACGACAGGUUUGCCAUUGGAUGGCAGAUUUACAUUCCUGGGUGAAAGCGGAUCUGCGAGAUCGAAACGUCUCAAUCUAAAAUGUGAACGACAGCAAUAAUUUGUAAGCUAAUAGAAGUGUUCUAAGAAGAGAGCCGAAAAGAAAGUACACUUAAUGUUUGGACAAUUAUUGUUCGAUAUGCGUUGUGCACUUUCAGAUGCCAUAAAAAAAGGAAAACACUUAAGCCGAGACGAUUAUAGCCGAGAUUCUCGGACUGGGCGUGCACAAGAGAGCCGGGCUUUCUCUCAUCGAAGGCGGGAUGGUACACGCGCCCCGCUCACCGAGUCACGAGUCUCAGCAGAUGUUGAGUCCACCGUUCCCUUAUCUAGAGAGCGAGAGGCGGGAGUCGGCCAGUGAGCUCGUGACCCAAACACCGAUGCAUUCAAUAGAGCCCGUCCACCAGACAUAACUAAUGGAUGACAGCUGGGGGAGGGUGGAAAUCGUGAGUGUUCCUCUGAGGGGAUGGGGAACUCAGGUCCGGCUUACCCAUCCCGGAUCGGCCGAUAGUAUCGUCCGGCAAACCGGAAUCGUCGACGAAUAUCUUAAUUCCGUCGAAACAAUGGAAACACUGAACUAGGAGGGGGCAUGGUCGGCUUUGGGGAUGCCCCCGCAGCACGCACUGCGUGCAUUAUUGUCUCCGUGACUAGAGAUCUCCGAUCUAUCAUAAGGCAAACAUCUCUCUGAUAGAGCUGUAGAGCUGGUGUAUAUAUAGCCCCAUUCGAUAUCUUCAAACCGAGAGUUUUGUCGGCCAUGAAUAUGGAAAGAGUUUCUACCGUAUUACAAAUUCAUUACCAUAGCCUACAUUUAUUUAUUUUUUUGUUUUUUUUUUAUUUUUUUAAAUGUAUUUUUUUUUUUUUUUAUAAUUGUUUUAUUAAUCUUUUUUUAUUUAU